UACCUGCAGCUCGAGUGGUAACCGCUAUUAUUGGGCCUAAAGCGUCCGUAGCCGGUUUGGUAAAUAUCUGGGUAAAUCGUGAGGCUUAACUUCACGAAUUUCGGAUAGACUGCCAGACUUGGGAUCGGGGGAGGUCAGAGGUACUCCAGGGGUAGCGGUGAAAUGUUGUAAUCCUUGGGAGGACCACCGGUAGCGAAGGCGUCUGACUAGAACGAGUCCGACGGUGAGGGACGAAGCCCUGGGGCGACAAACCGGAUUAGAUACCCGGGUAGUCCAGGGUGUAAACGAUGUGGGCUUUGUAUUGGAGGUCCCACGUGGGCGUCCAGUGCAGAAGAGAAGUUGUUAAGCCCACCGCCUGGGAAGUACGGUCGCAAGGCUGAAACUUAAAGGAAUUGGCGGGGGAGCACAGCAACGGGAGGAGCGUGCGGUUU
This 431-nucleotide ribosomal RNA is filed under the name uncultured archaeon. RNAcentral's name for it is "bacterial SSU rRNA". It matches the Rfam family "Archaeal small subunit ribosomal RNA", at positions 474 to 903 of the family's 1478-position model. The record is from RNAcentral.